AUACGUAGGGUGCGAGCGUUGUCCGGAAUUACUGGGCGUAAAGAGCUCGUAGGUGGUUUGUCGCGUCGUCUGUGAAAUUCCGGGGCUUAACUCCGGGCGUGCAGGCGAUACGGGCAUAACUUGAGUACUGUAGGGGAGACUGGAAUUCCUGGUGUAGCGGUGAAAUGCGCAGAUAUCAAGAGGAACACCGGUGGCGAAGGCGGUGCGCUGGGCAGUAACUGACGAGGGGGAGCGAAAGCAUGGGUAGCGAACAGGAUUAGAUACCCUGGGAGUCCAUGCCGUAAACGGUGGGCGCUAGGUGUAGGGGUCUUCCACGACUUCUGUGCCGUAGCUAACGCAUUAAGCGCCCCGCCUGGGGAGUACGGCCGCAAGGCUAAAACUCAAAGGAAUUGACGGGG
This 398-nucleotide ribosomal RNA is filed under the name uncultured bacterium. RNAcentral describes it as "partial 16S ribosomal RNA". It matches the Rfam family "Bacterial small subunit ribosomal RNA", at positions 523 to 918 of the family's 1533-position model. The record is from RNAcentral.